GCGUCCUCGGCUCGGGCGCAGGAGGCCGGCUCCUCGGGCCGGUUGGCGCAGCACGGUGUGGCGGCGGCGCGGGUCCUCCGCGAGGACGCC
Molecule: transfer RNA, 90 nt
Filed under: Streptomyces sp. TS71-3
Lineage: Bacteria; Bacillati; Actinomycetota; Actinomycetes; Kitasatosporales; Streptomycetaceae
Description: tRNA-Glu
Source: RNAcentral